GCCACUAGAUGGUGCUGAGUAUCAAAAAAAUAUAUGUUCCUCAGCGCCAUCUUGUGGUCAUAAUGAGGUGUUUUUCACAUUCACAUGAAUAACAUUUGAUCAGCAAAAAUCAUAGCCUCAGAACAUUCUAUUUUGUCACUUUUGUACAGAACAAAUCUACAGGCAGUUUUGAUUCCCGAACAGAUAUGCAAUUAUUAUAUUUUAAACCCCACUGGUAUUUUAUAUAAGAAAGGAAAGGAGAAGUCUAGGUGGGUGUCGCAGUGUUUCUGAUGAACGUUUCCUUCUCGGUGUCAUCAUCCGGACACGGCGCUCACUCCAUACACACACACAGAGAUCUGUGUAAAGAUACAAAUGUUUCCAUUGGGGAAUAGGCGAUGUUUAUUAGAAAUGGAGGAGUGACUUGUAUAGAGGAUGUUGGUCUUCUUCUAUCCCAUCAAUAAUGACUUCUUUCCUGGGAACAAUCUGUGAUAUGGACAUUCCACACACACAUUCCGGGAAGGUUGCUCAGGAAAUCUGUUCUGUAGGAGGAAUGGAUUUCAGUCAUUGGAUCUCUGGAAUUGAUCCAUUGUCCACCUUCUGGAAUUCCAUUCAUCUGAUCACAGGAAAGUGACAUUGAUUAGUUGGAGGUUCAUCAAUAAUCUUCAUAUUGAUCAGAUCAGAUGUGUGAUCUUCUCCUGUAACAUGGAAAUCUUUCUUCUGCUUUUCUCUCUCUAGAAAUAAAUGUCUUUGUAUUGCA
Rana temporaria (common frog) is the source of this 736-nucleotide long non-coding RNA. RefSeq lists it as uncharacterized. NCBI's taxonomy places the organism in Eukaryota, Metazoa, Chordata, Amphibia, Anura, Ranidae. The record is from RefSeq and is a predicted model, not a curated record. The transcript has 2 exons.